RNAcentral lists this ribosomal RNA (253 nucleotides) under uncultured bacterium. RNAcentral's name for it is "partial 16S ribosomal RNA". It matches the Rfam family "Bacterial small subunit ribosomal RNA", at positions 524 to 776 of the family's 1533-position model. The record is from RNAcentral.
UACGGGGGGGGCAAGCGUUGUUCGGAAUUACUGGGCGUAAAGGGCUCGUAGGCGGCCAACUCAGUCGGACGUGAAAUCCCUCGGCUUAACCGGGGAACUGCGUCUGAUACUGGAUGGCUUGAGGUUGGGAGAGGGAUGCGGAAUUCCAGGUGUAGCGGUGAAAUGCGUAGAUAUCUGGAGGAACACCGGUGGCGAAGGCGGCAUCCUGGACCAAUUCUGACGCUGAGGAGCGAAAGCCAGGGGAGCAAACGGG